UGGCGGACGGGUGAGUAAUGUCUGGGAAACUGCCUGAUGGAGGGGGGUAACUACUGGAAACGGUAGCUAAUACCGCAUAACGUCGCAAGACCAAAGAGGGGACCUUCGGGCCUCUUGCCAUCGGAUGUGCCCAGAUGGGAUUAGCUAGUAGGUGGGGUAACGGCUCACCUAGGCGACGAUCCCUAGCUGGUCUGAGAGGAUGACCAGCCACACUGGAACUGAGACACGGUCCAG
Molecule: ribosomal RNA, 234 nt
Filed under: uncultured bacterium
Lineage: Bacteria
Description: partial 16S ribosomal RNA
Rfam family: Bacterial small subunit ribosomal RNA
Source: RNAcentral